AUGCCGGAACGAGGGCUUGCAUGCGAUUGCCCUCUCACGGCGGGAACAGGGGUUCGAUUCCCCUUGGGCGUACCA
This 75-nucleotide transfer RNA is filed under the name Aminobacter aganoensis. RNAcentral describes it as "tRNA-Glu". The record is from RNAcentral. Lineage: Bacteria; Pseudomonadati; Pseudomonadota; Alphaproteobacteria; Hyphomicrobiales; Phyllobacteriaceae.